Long non-coding RNA from Oreochromis aureus, 1750 nucleotides. RefSeq lists it as uncharacterized. NCBI's taxonomy places the organism in Eukaryota, Metazoa, Chordata, Actinopteri, Cichliformes, Cichlidae. The record is from RefSeq and is a predicted model, not a curated record. The transcript is spliced from 4 exons.
UUAAAGUCAGUGUGUUCUCUAUUUAUGCUAGAAGUUAACAUUAGUUUAUUAAUUAUUUAGUGAAUACAGUGUGUUUGAAAAUUAAAUAGAAAUGUUGACAAUAAGGGAAAUAUUGCAAAAUACAUAAAUAUUCCUUCCAACAGGUAUAUCCUGCAUUUGUGCCAACAAAUAUUGGUGCCUAUUCUUUAAGCUUAUAUUACACGUUAUAGCCAUGUGAGACUCUGCAGCUAAUAUUAGUCCUCUUUAUAGUACAGUAAGUUCUUAAGGGAAAUUAAUGAUUGUACUAGUUAUUUUAUGUCACAGUAAAUCAGAUUGCGUGUGAUAAGGCAGAACGGUCUAAGUCAUUAAACAGUGAUCUGAUGUUUGAGCCACAAAGCUUCUGUGUUGGAAAUAUUUGGUAUAUCCUGCAUUUGUGCCAACAAAUAUUAGAGCCUAUUCUUUGCACUUCUGUAGUAUGAAUGCUUUUAUUACAGUUAUAGCCAUGUGAGACUCUGCAGCUAAUGUUCAUAAAAGCUUGAAGAAAUUGAGGAUUUUACUAGUUAUUUUAUGUCACAGUAAAUUGGAUUGUGUGUGAAGAGGCUCAACUGUCUGAAUCAUUAAACAGUGACCUGAUGUAUUGUUUCCUUUCUUUAGACUGCUGAUCUGAUCGUCUCAAGUCUGAGUGAACAGAUCUUUGGUUUUGCCUUUUCUGACUGCUGAUCUGAUCGUCUCAAGUCUGGUGGCCUGCUGCAGAAGCUCUCUCUCUCUCUCUCUAUCAUUAACAAGCCAUUCAGUCUGUCCUAUCACUCUCCCCACUCGAUCUAUUUUGACAAGCCGUUCUAUCUUGCUUCACUCUAUCCUACAAGCUCUAUCUAAGUUAUCAAAAAUCACGUUUUUAACUGGAAUCAAAUUUUGAAUGGAAUCAAGUUUUGUCUGGCGAAAUCAAGUUUUGACAUGGCCCCAUUUUUGGGAAAUUGAAGUUACCAGUACUUCAUCGAUCUGUUACAGAAUUCUGAGAGAUCUCUGCUCUCACUGCUCCUUCUUUCCUGUCGUUAAACUCUCUCACAUCCAGUCUUUUUGCUGGAAAUUACACGUAGAAAGUUGAAAUUACAAUAAUAGAAUUACAGUACAGUAGAAACUAUUUACACAAUUUUAAUUUUUACUUGGAACACUUUGGAAUAAAUACUGAUAGUUUGGCUUAGAGGUGCAAUUACUUGGAUACAUUAUAUAAAAUUUACACCUUAAAGGUUUUUUGUAAUAAGAUAAACUUGUUAUUUUAUACGACACAUUCAGACUGCUGUAUUCACAAAAAUAUUAAACUAGAUAACUUCAGAUACAUUUUGCUAGUCUGUUUCAUUGACUGUAACAUUUGACUAUAGUAGGUUUAUACUAUUAUUAUUUAGGGACAUUUCUGUUACUUAGUGUUCAGACACAAUUGCCAUCGAGAAGCUGCCCUGAGGACCCAGACUUCCUGUUUCCUGACUGCUGCAGAACAUCCAGCUGAAGAAUCCUCAUCGCCUGUCAUCUGAUCACCACAUCACCACAGCUGUUUAUAUUUGCUUUACAUUUUAGAUAUCUGAAAGAUUUACACACGCUCUACUUAAAAACUAAGACUUUUAUUAUAGCCUGUUGAUUGAUUGUGAUUUAUUCUGUAUAUCCCUUUACAGAAGCUAAGAUCUAGUCAUUAACAAGUCUGGUUAAAAUAUCAGAAGUAAAAAUAUUCUGUUUUGGAAAAAGCUACAAUAAAUCUGAGCCAAGUGUUUUCAAAGAA